Molecule: transfer RNA, 88 nt
Filed under: Minisyncoccota bacterium
Lineage: Bacteria; Bacillati; Minisyncoccota
Description: tRNA-Ser
Rfam family: tRNA
About the family: Transfer RNA (tRNA) molecules are approximately 80 nucleotides in length.
Source: RNAcentral
GGAGGCGUCGGAUAGCGGUUUAUUCCACUACCUUGGAAAGGUAGCAUGUCGCAAGGCAUCGAGAGUUCGAAUCUCUCCGCCUCCGCCA